Myotis davidii is the source of this 402-nucleotide long non-coding RNA. RefSeq lists it as uncharacterized. The record is from RefSeq and is a predicted model, not a curated record. NCBI's taxonomy places the organism in Eukaryota, Metazoa, Chordata, Mammalia, Chiroptera, Vespertilionidae. The transcript has 3 exons.
CCAUCUUCUCCCUUGAGACGAAAAGACUUAAAUUUGCAAGGUAACUGGUUAUUAGGAGAAUGCAAGCCCCACAGGGGCAGGGACCCCCGGUGUCUGCUCCCUGGUCUCUUUCAAGCACCUGAUGAAGAGGGUCUGCAGGGCGCUCUGUGGAAUGAAGGAAGGAACCUCGCCAGGUUGAGCUUAACUGUCACCUACGAAGACAGCCCCCGAGGGACUGAAUGCUGCCAACACCACAGGAAUGAGCUCCACAUGGCUCCUUCCCCAGGUGAACCUUCAAAUAAGACCACAGCCCAUGCUGACACCUUGACUGUAGCCUGUGACAGAACCCAAGCAGAGGACCCAGCAAAGCCCUGCCUAGAUUCCUUACCCACAGAAAACGUGAGAGAAUAAAUACAUGUUGUU